UCAUACUCUUCAAGUGGCACUGCUAGUUCACAAGGUCAAUAUGGCUCCUCCACCUUAGGAAGUAGUUUUGAUCAAAACGAAUGGGCUCAAGCCGCUUAUUCAUUUAUGAAUACACAAAGGAGCUAUACUACUAACGAGCUAGAUAUAUAUUUGUCUAGUACAUUUGCUUUCAAAAGUGUAGGUGGUAUACAAUUUGACGUCUUGAGAUGGUGGUCCACGCACGAGAGAGAAUAUCCCAUACUCGCCACCAUGGCCAAGGAGUUAUUCG
RNAcentral lists this long non-coding RNA (268 nucleotides) under Salvia miltiorrhiza (redroot sage). Its description in RNAcentral is "long non-coding RNA (SMIL_LNC009234)". The record is from RNAcentral. Lineage: Eukaryota; Viridiplantae; Streptophyta; Magnoliopsida; Lamiales; Lamiaceae.